CUAGCCUACUAGACCUCCUGAUCUACCUCUCGUAGCCUCCUGCUACUGUAGAUACCUCUAGCCUCCUGCUAGACUUCUUGAUCUACCUUUUGUAGCCCAAUCUACUAUCUCCUACAGCCUCCUGGUCUUACGUUGAAUGUCUCUCCAAGUGGAACACCAAGAACCGCCUAUUCUUGUGCUUGUAACUGUGCUUCAAUCUACCUCUCUCAGUUUUCUAAUGAAAUAGUCCCCUCCUCAAUAGAUUAAGGAAGCCUAGUUCUUUGAAUUGAGAACCUUGAUAUUUUCCCAAAAACUGGUUGUCGUAUCACAAGAUGAAUAUGGUUGAAUCCUCCAAUGAAUUAUGUCUUGGAUCUCUUGAACACAGAUGAGUAGAUAUUGUAUAAUGAAAGAAUAGUACCCUAUAUCUCACAUCCCAGACUUUUCUUUUUACACUUGGGGUAAAUAAGUGUCCUGGGCCGUACAAAAUUCUCCAAAAUGCAAUUUCAGAGUUGGUCACGUAACACUGUCGCUCAAGCAAGAAGAGAGCGAUGACUUCUUCGCUCGAGUGACGCUUGGGCGAACAGUGGGCAACAAUGGUUCCUGCUUCAUCCGUUUGAGCAACAACUUGGCGAGCAGCUAACGAAAAUUCGACCAGUCUUCUACCUUGUUCCAAACUCAACCCUUGCCUAAACCAUCUAUACAAAUUGUAACCCAAGUCCCUGACUUUUACAAUGUGUUCAAUUAAGUCCCUUUUGUUCACAGAAUCGCCAAUUACAAUAUAAAACCUAAUAAGGGAUAACACACUGUAAUUUUUAUUUAGCAAUAAUGUUUGUUGAUGCAUAAAUUGAAGAACCAAUCGAUUUCAUAUCUUUGGUGCAACAAGUAAUUUUGUUCAUUGGGUAAACAAUUUAAUUUGUUUUCUAGCAGAUUUUGACUAACUAAAUCUAAACUCGAUCAUUUCUAAAUGGGUUGGUUCAGUUCAAAAUUGAAACGAUGAUGGAACCGCAUGGAUCUAUACCAACGGUUUCUAAACAAUGAAUUUAGGUUUGCUUUUGCGGUUUAGCAUUCUUUUUCUCUCCUCUAUCUUUUACGAUAUGUUGGCUUAUUUCAGACUUGUUUGUACAUAAUUG
Molecule: long non-coding RNA, 1109 nt
Filed under: Olea europaea subsp. europaea
Lineage: Eukaryota; Viridiplantae; Streptophyta; Magnoliopsida; Lamiales; Oleaceae
Source: RNAcentral